AUGUUGAUGCAAGACUACUUCGCCGACAAUCCUACAUAUCCGCCGCACCUCUUCCGGAGAAGGUAUCGAAUGCGCCGAUCCCUCUUCGUAAAAAUUGUGCAAGCUUAUGAGGCCAAUUCUCGAUUUUUUACUCAAAGGAGAAACGACGCGGGCUUGUUGGGUUUUAGCGCAUAUCAAAAAAAAUCUCUGCAACUAUGUAGGUGA
Molecule: ribosomal RNA, 204 nt
Filed under: Triticum aestivum (bread wheat)
Lineage: Eukaryota; Viridiplantae; Streptophyta; Magnoliopsida; Poales; Poaceae
Description: partial small subunit ribosomal RNA
Source: RNAcentral